RNAcentral lists this ribosomal RNA (222 nucleotides) under uncultured bacterium. RNAcentral's name for it is "partial 16S ribosomal RNA". It matches the Rfam family "Bacterial small subunit ribosomal RNA", at positions 109 to 334 of the family's 1533-position model. The record is from RNAcentral.
AGUAAUGUAUGGGGAUCUGCCCGAUAGAGGGGGAUAACUACUGGAAACGGUGGCUAAUACCGCAUAAUGUCUACGGACCAAAGCAGGGGCUCUUCGGACCUUGCACUAUCGGAUGAACCCAUAUGGGAUUAGCUAGUAGGUGGGGUAAAGGCUCACCUAGGCGACGAUCUCUAGCUGGUCUGAGAGGAUGAUCAGCCACACUGGGACUAAGACACGGCCCAG